CGGAGGAUCCAAGCGUUAUCCGGAAUCAUUGGGUUUAAAGGGUCCGUAGGCGGUUUAGUAAGUCAGUUGUGAAAGCCCAUCGCUCAACGGUGGAACGGCCAUUGAUACUGCUAAACUUGAAUUAUUAGGAAGUAACUAGAAUAUGUAGUGUAGCGGUGAAAUGCUUAGAGAUUACAUGGAAUACCAAUUGCGAAGGCAGGUUACUACUAAUGGAUUGACGCUGAUGGACGAAAGCGUGGGUAGCGAACAGGAUUAGAUACCCUGGUAGUCCACGCCGUAAACGAUGGAUACUAGCUGUUGGGGGCAACUUCAGUGGCUAAGCGAAAGUGAUAAGUAUCCCACCUGGGGAGUACGUUCGCAAGAAUG
Molecule: ribosomal RNA, 366 nt
Filed under: uncultured organism
Description: bacterial SSU rRNA
Rfam family: Bacterial small subunit ribosomal RNA
Source: RNAcentral